This 460-nucleotide ribosomal RNA is filed under the name uncultured bacterium. Its description in RNAcentral is "partial 16S ribosomal RNA". It matches the Rfam family "Bacterial small subunit ribosomal RNA", at positions 338 to 795 of the family's 1533-position model. The record is from RNAcentral.
CCUACGGGAGGCAGCAGUGAGGAAUAUUGGUCAAUGGGCGGGAGCCUGAACCAGCCAAGUCGCGUGAGGGAAGACGGUCCUAUGGAUUGUAAACCUCUUUAGGCGGGGAGCAAUGCCGGGCACGUGUGCCCGGAGGGAGAGUACACGCAGAAUAGGCAUCGGCGAACUCCGUGCCAGCAGCGGCGGUAAUACGGGGGAUGCGAGGGUUAUCCGGAUUUAUUGGGUUUAAAGGGUGCGUAGGCGGCGUUUUAAGUAAGCGGUAAAAUGUCCGGGCUCAACGCGGGACGGCAGUUGAUACUGGGUGUCUUGAGUGGGGGAGAGGGAGGCGGAAUGCGUGGUGUAGCGGUGAAAUGCAUAGAUAUUAGGAGGAACACCAGAGGCGAAGGCGGCUAACUGGACUGUAACUGACGCUGAGGCACGAAAGUGUGGGGAGCAAACAGGAUUAGAUACCCUGGUAGUC